RNAcentral lists this ribosomal RNA (1458 nucleotides) under metagenome. RNAcentral describes it as "bacterial SSU rRNA". It matches the Rfam family "Bacterial small subunit ribosomal RNA". The record is from RNAcentral.
AGAGUUUGAUCCUGGCUCAGGAUGAACGCUGGCGGCGUGCUUAACACAUGCAAGUCGAACGGGAACCCCUGGAUUCGUCUGGGGGGGAGAGUGGCGAACGGGUGAGUAACACGUAGGUGACCUGCCUCGAAGACGGGGAUAACCACUGGAAACGGUGGCUAAUACCCGAUAGUCUCGACGAUUCGGUUCGUCGAGUAAAUGUUCCGGCGCUUCGAGAGGGGCCUGCGGCCCAUCAGCUAGUUGGUAGGGUAAUGGCCUACCAAGGCAAAGACGGGUAGGGACGUGAGAGCGUGACCCCCCACACUGGCACUGAGACACGGGCCAGACUCCUACGGGAGGCAGCAGUGAGGAAUAUUGCGCAAUGGGCGAAAGCCAGACGCAGCAACGCCGCGUGGGUGAUGAAGGCCUUCGGGUCGUAAAACCCUUUUCUGGGAGAAGAGCAAGGACGGUAUCCCAGGAAUAAGCCUCGGCUAACUAUGUGCCAGCAGCCGCGGUAACACAUAGGAGGCGAGCGUUAUCCGGAUUUACUGGGCGUAAAGAGCGUUGAGGCGGCCUUGUAAGUUGGACGUGAAAGCUCCCGGCUCAACUGGGAGAGGUCGUUCAAUACUGCAAGGCUUGAGGACAGCAGAGGGGGGUGGAAUUCCCGGUGUAGUGGUGAAAUGCGUAGAUACCGGGAGGAACACCAGUGGCGAAGGCGGCCCCCUGGGCUGCUCCUGACGCUGAAUGCGAAAGCUAGGGUAGCAAACGGGAUUAGAAACCCCGGUAGUCCUAGCCGUAAACGAUGGAUACUAGGUGUAGGGGGUGAAAAUUCCCUCUGUGCCGAAGCUAACGCGUUAAGUAUCCCGCCUGGGGAGUACGGCCGCAAGGCUAAAACUCAAAGGAAUUGACGGGUCUCCGCACAAGCAGCGGAGCGUGUGGUUUAAUUCGAUCGACGCGAAGAACCUUACCAGGGCUUGACAUGCAGGUAGUAGUGAAGCGAAAGCGGAACGAUCCCUCGGGAAGCCUGUACAGGUGCUGCAUGGCUGUCGUCAGCUCGUGCCGUGAGGUGUUAGGUUAAGUCCUGUAACGAGCGCAACCCUCACCGUUAGUUACAUGUGUCUAGCGGAACUGCCCGGCAAAACUGGGAGGAAGGUGGGGAUGACGUCAAGUCAGCAUGGCCUUUAUGUCCUGGGCUACACACACGCUACAAUGGCCGGUACAAUGGGUCGCCAAGCCGUGAGGCGGAGCCAAUCCUCUAAAGCCGGUCUCAGUUCGGAUUGUAGGCUGCAACUCGCCUGCAUGAAGCUGGAGUUGCUAGUAACCGCAGGUCAGCUACACUGCGGUGAAUACGUUCCCGGAGAUUGUACACACCGCCCGUCACGUCAUGGGAGCUGGUAACACCUGAAGCCGGUGGGCUAACCUAACGGAGGCAGCCGUCGAAGGUGGGACUGGUGACUGGGACGAAGUCGUAACAAGGUA